UUUGUCGCGUUGUUCGUGAAACUCACGGCUUAACUGUGAGCGUGCGGGCGAUACGGGCAGACUUGAGUACUGCAGGGGAGACUGGAAUUCCUGGUGUAGCGGUGGAAUGCGCAGAUAUCAGGAGGAACACCGGUGGCGAAGGCGGGUCUCUGGGCAGUAACUGACGCUGAGGAGCGAAAGCGUGGGGAGCGAACAGGAUUAGAUACCCUGGUAGUCCACGCCGUAAACGGUGGGUACUAGGUGUGGGUUUCCUUCCUUGGGAUCCGUGCCGUAGCUAACGCAUUAAGUACCCCGCCUGGGGAGUACGGCCGCAAGGCUAAAACUCAAAGAAAUUGACGGGGGCCCGCACAAGCGGCGGAGCAUGUGGAUUAAUUCGAUGCAACGCGAAGAACCUUACCUGGGUUUGACAUGCACAGGACGCCGGCAGAGAUGUCGGUUCCCUUGUGGCCUGUGUGCAGGUGGUGCAUGGCUGUCGUCAGCUCGUGUCGUGAGAUGUUGGGUUAAGUCCCGCAACGAGCGCAACCCUUGUCUCAUGUUGCCAGCGGGUAAUGCCGGGGACUCGUGAGAGACUGCCGGGGUCAACUCGGAGGAAGGUGGGGAUGACGUCAAGUCAUCAUGCCCCUUAUGUCCAGGGCUUCACACAUGCUACAAUGGCCGGUACAAAGGGCUGCGAUGCCGCGAGGUUAAGCGAAUCCUUUUAAAGCCGGUCUCAGUUCGGAUCGGGGUCUGCAACUCGACCCCGUGAAGUCGGA
RNAcentral lists this ribosomal RNA (752 nucleotides) under uncultured bacterium. RNAcentral describes it as "bacterial SSU rRNA". It matches the Rfam family "Bacterial small subunit ribosomal RNA", at positions 579 to 1330 of the family's 1533-position model. The record is from RNAcentral.